GGGGCUGUAGCUCAGAGGUAGAGCACUUGCCUAGCAUGUGUGAGGCACUGGGUUCGAUCCUCAGCACCA
This 69-nucleotide transfer RNA is filed under the name Marmota marmota marmota (Alpine marmot). It matches the Rfam family "tRNA". From Rfam's summary of the family: Transfer RNA (tRNA) molecules are approximately 80 nucleotides in length. Their secondary structure includes four short double-helical elements and three loops (D, anti-codon, and T loops). Lineage: Eukaryota; Metazoa; Chordata; Mammalia; Rodentia; Sciuridae. The record is from Rfam by way of RNAcentral. RNAcentral also lists the same sequence under 2 other names.